This 253-nucleotide ribosomal RNA is filed under the name uncultured bacterium. Its description in RNAcentral is "partial 16S ribosomal RNA". It matches the Rfam family "Bacterial small subunit ribosomal RNA", at positions 524 to 776 of the family's 1533-position model. The record is from RNAcentral.
UACAGAGGGUGCAAGCGUUGUUCGGAAUUAUUGGGCGUAAAGCGCGUGUAGGCGGCUUUGCAAGUCGGGUGUGAAAGCCCUCAGCUCAACUGAGGAAGUGCGCCCGAAACUGCAGAGCUUGAGUACCGGAGAGGAUGGCGGAAUUCCCCAAGUAGAGGUGAAAUUCGUAGAUAUGGGGAGGAACACCGGUGGCGAAGGCGGCCAUCUGGACGGAUACUGACGCUGAGACGCAAAAGCGUGGGGAGCAAACAGG